GCCGACGAUGCGUAGGGGUUCUGAGAGGAAGGUCCCCCACAUUGGAACUGAGACACGGUCCAAACUCCUACGGAGGGCAGCAGUGAGGAAUAUUGGUCAAUGGCCGGAAGGCUGAACCAGCCAAGUCGCGUGAGGGAAUAAGGCCCUACGGGUCGUAAACCUCUUUUGCCAGGGAGCAAUGCCGUCCACGUGUGGACGGAAGGAGAGUACCUGGAGAAAAAGCAUCGGCUAACUCCGUGCCAGCAGCCGCGGUAAUACGGAGGAUGCGAGCGUUAUCCGGAUUUAUUGGGUUUAAAGGGUGCGUAGGCGGCCUGCCAAGUCAGCGGUAAAAUUGCGGGGCUCAACCCCGUACAGCCGUUGAAACUGCCGGGCUCGAGUGGGCGAGAAGUAUGCGGAAUGCGUGGUGUAGCGGUGAAAUGCAUAGAUAUCACGCAGAACCCCGAUUGCGAAGGCAGCAUACCGGCGCCCGACUGACGCUGAGGCACGAAAGUGCGGGGAUCAAACAGGAUUAGAUACCCUGGUAGUCCGCACAGUAAACGAUGAAUGCUAGCUGUCCGGGGGGAUUGACCCCUGG
This 574-nucleotide ribosomal RNA is filed under the name uncultured bacterium. Its description in RNAcentral is "bacterial SSU rRNA". It matches the Rfam family "Bacterial small subunit ribosomal RNA", at positions 272 to 842 of the family's 1533-position model. The record is from RNAcentral.